AGUGAACGCUGGCGGUAGGCCUAACACAUGCAAGUCGAACGGCAGCACAGGAGAGCUUGCUCCCUGGGUGGCGAGUGGCGGACGGGUGGGGAAUACAUCGGAAUCUACUCUGUCGUGGGGGAUAACGUGGGGAAACUUACGAUAAUAGCGCAUACGACCUACAGGUGAAAGCAGGGGACCUUCGGGCCUUGCGCGAUUGUAUGAGCCGAUGUCGGAUUCGCUAGUUGGCGGGGUAAGGGGCCACCAAGGCGACGAUCCGUAGCUGGUCUGAGAGGAUGAUCGGCCACACUGGGAGUGAGGGACGGUCGAGACUCCUAGGGGAGGCAGCAGUGGGGAAUAUUGGGCAAGUGGCGGAAGCCGGAUCCAGCCAUACCGCGUGGGUGAAGAAGGCCUUCGGGUUGUAAAGCCCUUUUGUUUGGAAAUAAAUCCAGCUGGCUAAUACCCGGUUGGGAUGACGGUACCCAAAGAAUAAGCACCGGCUAACUUCGUGCCAGCAGCCGCCGUAA
Molecule: ribosomal RNA, 506 nt
Filed under: uncultured bacterium
Lineage: Bacteria
Description: partial 16S ribosomal RNA
Rfam family: Bacterial small subunit ribosomal RNA
Source: RNAcentral